UACGUAGGUGGCAAGCGUUGUCCGGAUUUACUGGGCGUAAAGGGAGCGUAGGUGGAUGUUUAAGUGGGAUGUGAAAUACCUGGGCUUAACUUGGGUGCUGCAUUCCAAACUGGAUAUCUAGAGUGCAGGAGAGGAAAGUGGAAUUCCUAGUGUAGCGGUGAAAUGCGUAGAGAUUAGGAAGAACACCAGUGGCGAAGGCGACUUUCUGGACUGUAACUGACACUGAGGCUCGAAAGCGUGGGGAGCAAACAGGAUUAGAUACCCUGGUAGUCCACGCCGUAAACGAUGGAUACUAGGUGUGGGGGUUUCAACACCUCCGUGCCGCCGUUAACACAAUAAGUAUCCCGCCUGGGGAGUACGGUCGCAAGAUUAAA
Molecule: ribosomal RNA, 374 nt
Filed under: uncultured bacterium
Lineage: Bacteria
Description: bacterial SSU rRNA
Rfam family: Bacterial small subunit ribosomal RNA
Source: RNAcentral